AACCUAGGUCAAACCUAGGUCAGACCUAGGUCAGACCUAGGUCAGACCUAGGUCAGACCUAGGUCAGACCUAGGUCAGACCUAGGUCAGACCUAGGUCC
Molecule: microRNA precursor, 99 nt
Filed under: Paramuricea clavata
Lineage: Eukaryota; Metazoa; Cnidaria; Anthozoa; Malacalcyonacea; Plexauridae
Source: RNAcentral